RNAcentral lists this ribosomal RNA (248 nucleotides) under uncultured Gardnerella sp. Its description in RNAcentral is "partial 16S ribosomal RNA". It matches the Rfam family "Bacterial small subunit ribosomal RNA", at positions 107 to 354 of the family's 1533-position model. The record is from RNAcentral. Lineage: Bacteria; Bacillati; Actinomycetota; Actinomycetes; Bifidobacteriales; Bifidobacteriaceae.
GGAGUAAUGCGUGACCAACCUGCCCCAUGCUCCAGAAUAGCUCUUGGAAACGGGUGGUAAUGCUGGAUGCUCCAACUUGACGCAUGUCUUGUUGGGAAAGUGUUUAGUGGCAUGGGAUGGGGUCGCGUCCUAUCAGCUUGUAGGCGGGGUAAUGGCCCACCUAGGCUUCGACGGGUAGCCGGCCUGAGAGGGCGGACGGCCACAUCGGGACUGAGAUACGGCCCAGACUCCUACGGGAGGCAGCAGAU